Molecule: long non-coding RNA, 2748 nt
Organism: Homo sapiens (human)
Lineage: Eukaryota; Metazoa; Chordata; Mammalia; Primates; Hominidae
Gene: SYT15-AS1
Product: SYT15 antisense RNA 1
Source: Ensembl
GGGAGGCUGUCGCUCGGGUCCGGCUGCGGGCCACAGGCCGCGGAUCGCGCUCUGCCAGCGCCCCACGCCCGCAAGCGCGGCCCCUCCGCCACCUCGCGGCCCGGCCUGACCUGUUAAUCACGUCCCCACGGCUCUCCUAGCGGGGACACCGCCGUCUGCAGGCUCCGUCCCCACAGUGCCCAGACCCCGGGAAGUUUGUCAGUCAGCACCCUGAUGCCAGCCGAUUCUCAAAAAGCCAGGAGGAUCCAAGCAGAUGAUUUGCCAGACGGUACUGCAGCAAUGGAGAUGAACAGAUAAUUCACACAGAAAGAAGGACGAGGGAUUGGAUCAAGCUGGGGCGAGAUAGAGUGGGGAAGUGAUGAGCUAAGAAAAAUUAGCCUGCAAGCAUGACGUGUCGCACGUCAGCAAGGCUGCAGCCUUGGAUUCUGAUGUCUUGAGAAGAGCGAUUCACCUGUGAAUUCUCACAGCCCUGGCCUCAGAAAGACGGCCCGGGACCAGGCCCGAUGGCACCCCUCUUCCCAGCUCUCAGCCAGGGCGGAAGGCACAAGUGAUGGCCCUGGCCUCCGCAGUCACACUCCUCCUGAAAGCUGACUGGCUGAACCUCACCUCUUGGCUAGCUUGCCACCCAGCUCUUGAGAACAUGUUUGUCCAAGGCCUCUUGGCAGGUCUCGAUGACUCCUUCCCCUAAGGGCCCCCAGUCACCUGCUAAGGCUCCCAGGCCCCUGUGAAACUGGCUCGGUGCCCCAAUAGACUCUCCACCUCCAGACCCUAAGCCGGCCAGCCCAGAGUGCAGCAAGGCACCACACCUACCCUGUGAGGGCACUCGGGCCCCGCGCUGGCCUCUGACAGCACAGGAAGCUUCUGCAUUCACGCUGAGGCCUGUCUUUUGCCUUCCUUAGAUAAACUUGCCAGAAACCCCAUAGUGCUUCAGGCCUUUGGGAUAAUUCCCCUGAGCCCCAUAGGCCAGGGCCUGGCAUUCAGUAGUUGCUCUAAAAUUGUGUUUUCACCCACUCUCUUCCAGGUAGUCAGGACAGGGAAGCCCAGGCUUCUGGUCACCACUCACCAAAUCUCUCCCCUGCCCCUCUAUCAGGGAUCAGCUCCUAUAGGCCUUAACCUAGCAGACUAGGUAAAGCAGAGCUGGUGGCAUCAAGGGUCCCGGGGGCUGCAGAGCCCUGGCUGGUACAGGAGGCUGGGCUCUCCUGUAGGUCUGCACCUUCCCAGCAACGCGGAGGGCACCAGACCCUGCCUGCUCCAGAGGCUGUACCUGAAAGAUGAAGUGCUCGUCAAACUGCGGGUUGGAGGUUUUGCGUUUGGUCUUGGAUUGGAGGAAGCGCCGCUCAUCGGGCAGCAGGUAGAGCUUCACCAGGGGGCUGCAGGUCUCCGAGGGGGCUUGCAGGUGCUGUGCCUUGAUCAAGCCCACCAGCAGCCGCUCAGCCUCCUGCUCAUAUUCCACCGAGAACCACAGCCGCCCCAGGCAGCCGUCGGGGAAGUCGGUCUCACUUUUGUCCUCCGGGAACUUGUACAGCUCUGGGUUGAUGGCCCCCACCAUACAUGCAUCUCCUAUGACAGAGGGUGGGAGGGCUGGCAGGCCAGAGGAAGGCAGGGGCAUGGGAGACAGUGGCAAGCUCUGGGCACCCAUCCCCAUCCUGGCCCAUCCGUCUCUGCUGAGCCUCAGCUAGCCUGACCACAUCUGCCCCACUCUCCUCACCAGGCUAAACACAUCCCCUCUCUCUGGUGCAGCUCCUCCAAGAAGCCUUCUCACCAUGAAGGCAUUGCAUGGCCAGGCUGGGGAUCCAGCAGAGUCCUGCCCCCUGGGAUUGGCCCCCAUCCUUGGAGGUCAGGACCUGUUUCAAGGACACAGUGCCCAUCACCUGGCCUAGCCCCCUUCCAUGGCGUCUAGGGAAUGACUCAGCGAUAAAACAUUGCCUUUCUUCUUCCUCUUCAAAUUAGAAGGGCCAAGGUGAUUAUUGGGUGGUUCCUGUGAUGGUCUCUUGGUAGAUCUUCAGGGCAAAGAGGUGGCAGAAAGCUGUGUUUGCAGCCCCUACCAUUCUGUCCUCUUGGUCAACCAACCCAUCAUCCUAGAGUGGGACCCAGCACAAGUUCUGUACAUGGCGUGCCUGGGUUCCAAUUCCAAUCUGUUGCUUACAGCCUCAGUUAAGACUAUGUAAAAUGGGGUGAUAAUUCCUCCCCCUCAGAGUCAUGGUGAGGUCUCACUCCAAAUCAGCACCCAAGGCCAUAUCUUACCCUCAUGGGGUGCAGCAAGCACUUCAUAAAUGAAAGCACCCAGAAAGAGUGGUCCCUGGGUGGUCCCUGGCAUCCCUGGCUGGUUCAGGUUGUGUUCCGGAGCCAAGCUGGUGAAAGCAGAUGGGGCCACCCGAGCAGACCCUGACCUCUGGGCAGCCCUGGCAAGGACACUCACCAAGGCCGCCGCUGGAGGUGUGAGGCAGCAGCUCUGAUGCCGGGCAGGGGUCCCAUGGGGCAUCGGCCCACUCUCCACUGUGCAGGGGCACCCAAUCUCGGCCUUGAAGGGUUGGGGGCACCACGAAUGGCACAGCUGGUGGCCUGUCCAGAGUCAGGGAGACAACAUGUAGGUGGCAAGUCAAUGGUGUGGUCUCAGAGCGCUCAGCCAGGACGGUUGAGCACCAGGGGCUGGAGGAAGAAAAGCCAUCGGGAGCCAGGAGGAGGCCAGGGCACCAUUUUCUGGGCCCAUACCAGGCAACACACACACACACACACGCACACACACAC